RNAcentral lists this ribosomal RNA (253 nucleotides) under uncultured bacterium. RNAcentral's name for it is "partial 16S ribosomal RNA". It matches the Rfam family "Bacterial small subunit ribosomal RNA", at positions 524 to 776 of the family's 1533-position model. The record is from RNAcentral.
GACGAACCGUGCGAACGUUGUUCGGAAUCACUGGGCUUAAAGGGCGCGUAGGCGGGCUACCAAGUCCGGGGUGAAAUCCUCCAGCUCAACUGGAGAACGGCCUCGGAUACUGAUGGUCUCGAGGAGGAUAGGGGCACACGGAACUGUGGGUGGAGCGGUGAAAUGCGUUGAUAUCCAUAGGAACUCCGGUGGCGAAAGCGGUGUGCUGGAUCCUUUCUGACGCUGAUGCGCGAAAGCCAGGGGAGCAAACGGG